UACGAAGGGGGCUAGCGUUGUUCGGAAUUACUGGGCGUAAAGGGCGCGUAGGCGGAUGACACAGUCAGGCGUGAAAUUCCUGGGCUCAACCUGGGGGCUGCGUUUGAUACAUGUUGUCUGAAGUUCGGAAGAGGGUCGUGGAAUUCCCAGUGUAGAGGUGAAAUUCGUAGAUAUUGGGAAGAACACCGGUGGCGAAGGCGGCGACCUGGUCCGAUACUGACGCUGAGGCCCGAAAGCGUGGGGAGCAAACAGG
This 253-nucleotide ribosomal RNA is filed under the name uncultured bacterium. Its description in RNAcentral is "partial 16S ribosomal RNA". It matches the Rfam family "Bacterial small subunit ribosomal RNA", at positions 524 to 776 of the family's 1533-position model. The record is from RNAcentral.